GAGUUAUGGCGUCAGGAUGAACGCUAGCUACAGGCGUUAACACCAUGCAAGUCGAGGGGCAGCAUAACGAAAGCUUGCUUUGUUGAUGGCGACCGGCGCACGGGUGAGUAACGCGUAUCCAACCUUCCCUAUAGUAGAGAAUAGCCCGGCGAAAGUCGGAUUAAUGCUCUAUGUUCUUCUUUGAUGGCAUCUGACGAGAAGCAAAGGUUCACCGCUAUAGGAUGGGGAUGCGUCUGAUUAGGUAGUCGGCGGGGUAACGGCCCACCGAGCCAACGAUCAGUAGGGGUUCUGAGAGGAAGGUCCCCCACAUUGGUACUGAGACACGGACCAAACUCCUACGGGAGGCAGCAGUGAGGAAUAUUGGUCAAUGGACGAGAGUCUGAACCAGCCAAGUCGCGUGAAGGAAUGAAGGUUCUAUGGAUUGUAAACUUCUUUUGUCCGAGGGUAAAGUGAGCCACGUGUGGUUUAUUGCAAGUAUCGGACGAAUAAGCAUCGGCUAACUCCGUGCCAGCCGCAGC
RNAcentral lists this ribosomal RNA (518 nucleotides) under uncultured bacterium. RNAcentral describes it as "bacterial SSU rRNA". It matches the Rfam family "Bacterial small subunit ribosomal RNA", at positions 1 to 518 of the family's 1533-position model. The record is from RNAcentral.